UGGGGAAUAUUGCACAAUGGGCGCAAGCCUGAUGCAGCCAUGCCGCGUGUAUGAAGAAGGCCUUCGGGUUGUAAAGUACUUUCAGCGGGGAGGAAGGGAGUAAAGUUAAUACCUUUGCUCAUUGACGUUACCCGCAGAAGAAGCACCGGCUAACUCCGUGCCAGCAGCCGCGGUAAUACGGAGGGUGCAAGCGUUAAUCGGAAUUACUGGGCGUAAAGCGCACGCAGGCGGUUGAUUGAGUCAGAUGUGAAAUCCCCGGGCUUAACCCGGGAAUUGCAUCUGAUACUGGUCAGCUAGGGUCUUGUAGAGGGGGGUAGAAUUCCAUGUGUAGCGGUGAAAUGCGUAGAGAUGUGGAGGAAUACCGGUGGCGAAGGCGGCCCCCUGGACAAAGACUGACGCUCAGGUGCGAAAGCGUGGGGAGCAAACAGG
RNAcentral lists this ribosomal RNA (429 nucleotides) under Chloroflexota bacterium. RNAcentral describes it as "Chloroflexi bacterium partial 16S ribosomal RNA". It matches the Rfam family "Bacterial small subunit ribosomal RNA", at positions 355 to 776 of the family's 1533-position model. Lineage: Bacteria; Bacillati; Chloroflexota. The record is from RNAcentral.